AUGCAAGUCGAACGGGACCGGGGGCAACUUCGGUUCAGUGGCGGACGGGUGCGUAACACGUGAGGAACAUGACCUUCGGCGGGGGAUAGCCGGCCCAACGGCCGGGUAAUACCGCGUACGACCAUUAGAGGACAUCCUUUGAUGGUGAAAGCAGCAAUGCGCCGAUGGAGUGCCUCGCGGCCUAUCAGCUAGUUGGUGGGGUAACGGCUCACCAAGGCAACGACGGGUAGCUGGUCUGAGAGGAUGGCCAGCCACAUUGGGACUGAGACACGGCCCAGACUCCUACGGGAGGCAGCAGUGGGGAAUAUUGCGCAAUGGACGAAAGUCUGACGCAGCGACGCCGCGUGUGGGAUGACGGUCUUCGGAUUGUAAACCACUGUCGGGAGGGACGAAUACGCCGCAAGGCGGGUGACGGUACCUCCAAAGGAAGCACCGGCUAACUCCGUGCCAGCAGCCGCGGUAAUACGGAGGGUGCGAGCGUUGUCCGGAAUCACUGGGCGUAAAGGGCGCGUAGGCGGCCUGAUAAGUAGGGGGUGAAAUCCUGCGGCUUAACCGCAGGGCUGCCUUCUAAACUGUCAGGCUGGAGCACAGUAGAGGCAGGUGGAAUUCCCAGUGUAGCGGUGGAAUGCGUAGAGAUCGGGAAGA
This 645-nucleotide ribosomal RNA is filed under the name uncultured soil bacterium. RNAcentral's name for it is "bacterial SSU rRNA". It matches the Rfam family "Bacterial small subunit ribosomal RNA", at positions 55 to 705 of the family's 1533-position model. The record is from RNAcentral.